GAUGAACGCUGGCGGCGUGCCUAAUACAUGCAAGUCGAGCGAACGGACGAGAAGAUUGCUUCUCUGAUGUUAGCGGCGGACGGGUGAGUAACACGUGGAUAACCUACCUAUAAGACUGGGAUAACUUCGUGAAACCGUAGCUAAUACCGGAUAAUACUUUGAACCGCAUGGUUCAAAAGUGAAAGACGGUCUUGCUGUCACUUAUAGAUGGAUCCGCGCUGCAUUAGCUAGUUGGUAAGGUAACGGCUUACCAAGGCAACGAUGCGUAGCCGACCUGAGAGGGUGAUCGGCCACACUGGAACUGAGACACGGUCCAGACUCCUACGGGAGGCAGCAGUAGGGAAUCUUCCGCAAUGGGCGAAAGCCUGACGGAGCAACGCCGCGUGAGUGAUGAAGGUCUUCGGAUCGUAAAACUCUGUUAUUAGGGAAGAACAUAUGUGUAAGUAACUGUGCACAUCUUGACGGUACCUAAUCAGAAAGCCACGGCUAACUACGUG
This 497-nucleotide ribosomal RNA is filed under the name uncultured bacterium. RNAcentral's name for it is "partial 16S ribosomal RNA". It matches the Rfam family "Bacterial small subunit ribosomal RNA", at positions 28 to 507 of the family's 1533-position model. The record is from RNAcentral.